UUAGGCAUUAAUCGAUGCUAUCUUUGGUCUAGGAACUGUAAGGCUAUAUGUAAGUAUGUGAGGUUGUUGGUGCUUUUCACUAGUUAGGCCAGAGUCAUGUUUGCAUAUAGUUGGUGCUUUAAUAUUUAUCCCUAAAAUUCUAAAACUUAGCAAAAGGUCCUUUUAGUAACGUUUGGAUGCUUAAUCAUGCAAAACGAACAUGGAUAAACUUUGAAAGGUUCAGGUAUAUAACCAAUGGAAAAAGGACCUUUUAUGUUAAUCGUAAAAUUCAGGACUUUAUAGUUAAGUUCUAAAAGUUACGGGAUUUUAUCAUGCAAAAUUAAAGUUCAUAGGGUUUCUUCAAAAUUUUCAUUUUUACAUGUUCUAUCCAUUUGUCAUAAUAAAAAAAAACAAACAGGAGCUUCUGGCACAUGGGGAAAGGAUAGGAAGUGUUAGUACUGGUCUGUCGGAGAAUCAGAUUUCAAAGUGUUUAAGAGAGUCGAUAUACUGUUCUUCUGAUCAGCUACAAGAGGAAGGAACAUGUGUGAUCUGUUUGGAAGAGUAUGCAAACAUGGAUGAUGUAGGGAUGUUAAAAGGUUGCAAACAUGAUUUCCAUGUUGGAUUCAUAAAAAAAUGGUUGUCAAUGAAGAACUUGUGUUCCAUAUGCAAAUCAGAACCCAUUAAACAGGAGUAAACUUAUUGUUAUUAUUAUGCUGUAAAUAUAUAUGUUAUUAUGUAUUUAUUGUUAGAAGAAAAAUCCUCAAAAUUGGAGAGGAUCUGUGUUAAUUAUCUCAAAUUGCCUCCAUACUCUUCCAAGGUUCAUUAAAAAACAUUCUUUCCUCUCCA
Molecule: long non-coding RNA, 825 nt
Organism: Helianthus annuus (common sunflower)
Lineage: Eukaryota; Viridiplantae; Streptophyta; Magnoliopsida; Asterales; Asteraceae
Exons: 2
Source: RefSeq, a predicted model, not a curated record